AGUUUCAGAAAACAAGCUGGAUUUUUUAAAUUUUUUAUUUUUUUUAAUUUUUUUUUAAGGAGGGAAUUGGAGGAAGUGGCAAAGCUCCCAGGUUAUCCAGAGACCUGUGGUUUCUCCAUGCCCAGGUAAAAUGUGUGUUAGGGAAAGGGCAGUGGCCUGCUUUUUAAGACAGAGCCUUAGGUCUGCAUGAUGCCUUGUGGCUCCACACAGAGCCCAUGACUGCCUCUUCCAUGGCAAAUUUGCUGCUAAAUUGACAAACACCUUCUCUGUGAUUGCAGAGCUGCCCCAGCAGAAGCUUCUAGAAGAGUUAGAGGUCUUCAAUGCAACAAGUUCCCUUUUCCUCAUGUUAUUCCAGUGGUGUCCUGCUGUCCUGACUUUGUGAGGUUCCCAGAGUUACUCUGGACCCUGAUAAAUCAGACCUUAAAUAUGGAGAAAUUACCUGCACCUGGAGCAAAAACAUUUGCAGGAUGGUAGUCCAGAGCACAGGUGGUAAGUGAUCAAUACCUUUAUUUACAUUUCAUUAAGGAAUG
RNAcentral lists this long non-coding RNA (530 nucleotides) under Parus major (Great Tit). RNAcentral describes it as "lncRNA (ENSPMJG00000009759.1)". Lineage: Eukaryota; Metazoa; Chordata; Aves; Passeriformes; Paridae. The record is from RNAcentral.